RNAcentral lists this ribosomal RNA (253 nucleotides) under uncultured bacterium. Its description in RNAcentral is "partial 16S ribosomal RNA". It matches the Rfam family "Bacterial small subunit ribosomal RNA", at positions 524 to 776 of the family's 1533-position model. The record is from RNAcentral.
UACGGAGGGAGCAAGCGUUGUCCGGAAUCAUUGGGCGUAAAGCGCGCGUAGGCGGCCUCAUAAGUCCGUUGUGAAAGUCAAAGGCUCAACCUUUGAAAGCCGAUGGAUACUGUGAGGCUAGAGUCCGGAAGAGGCGAGUGGAAUUCCUGGUGUAGCGGUGGAAUGCGCAGAUAUCAGGAGGAACACCGAUGGCGAAGGCAGGUCACUGGGCCACUACUGACGCUGAGGAGCGAAAGCAUGGGGAGCGAACAGG